This is a long non-coding RNA of Lucilia sericata (common green bottle fly), 557 nucleotides long. RefSeq lists it as uncharacterized. The transcript has 2 exons. The record is from RefSeq and is a predicted model, not a curated record. Lineage: Eukaryota; Metazoa; Arthropoda; Insecta; Diptera; Calliphoridae.
UAUAAUGCGGGUUAAAAUGAUGGAGAGAAAAUUGUGAUUGAGAAUGAUUGUAUAUAAAAUCUCGAUUAACAUACAUCAAAAACUCGUAAUAAAAAUUCACACACUCACUCACUCACGUAAACUUAAAAACAAAAAAAAACUCAAAUUUUGUUUCGAGAAAAAAAAAGGCCAAAUAAUAAAUCUAUUAUAUGGUGGAAUACAUAGUAUGUGAAGAUGAUGGCAGCAAAGGGUAUCAAGGAUAUUUAUUUUUAAAUUUAUAUUUUCUUCUUCAAAACUGCAGACUAAAAAUAUCACACGAAAAAUUAAGGGGACGCAAAACGUUGAUGACGAUGAGUAAUCAGCCUGUAAUAUUUUCUUAUUUUUUUUUCACACAAUAUAUUUUUAGUACAUUAUAUUUAAUUUUCCAAUUGUAUUGUAUUUGCUUGCCCAUUAAGAAGUAUUAUUUAAUAUGUAUGCAUAUUUUUGGGUUUUUUUCGGUAAUCACUCACACAAAAUUUGUACUUUUUGUAUCUUUAGUAGUUGAACAAACAACCCACCUUUUUCCACUUAAAAAAAAA